Non-coding RNA from Mycena latifolia, 94 nucleotides. NCBI's taxonomy places the organism in Eukaryota, Fungi, Basidiomycota, Agaricomycetes, Agaricales, Mycenaceae. The record is from the annotation of a GenBank genome assembly.
UCGGGCAUGGUGUACGGUACACCGCCUCCUCUCCUCAUGUUGAGGGUGAAGACGUUGUACGAGGCAGAUCGGGGUUCGACUCCCCGUGUCCGAA